Long non-coding RNA from Mirounga angustirostris (Northern elephant seal), 721 nucleotides. RefSeq lists it as uncharacterized. The transcript has 3 exons. The record is from RefSeq and is a predicted model, not a curated record. Lineage: Eukaryota; Metazoa; Chordata; Mammalia; Carnivora; Phocidae.
AUUCUUUUUCAAAGAGAUCUGAUAUGAUCAAGCCUUCAGGACAAUAGCUCUGGUAUUGUACAAGUCCUGCUUGCUUUUCCUGCUCUUUUCAUUUCAAAGAAUCCACUGAAGAAGCUAUGGGAAAACUUGGCUUAGAUAAGAGACACUGUGCCCCAUAGACAACUGUCCUGCCUCUGGUCUCCCUGUGGACAUCUUCCUUUCCACCAACCCUGAGAUGGACACUUCAUGGAGGAGGAGAGAGUCUUGCACAAUCAUGAUCAAAUGUAUGACUUAUUUUUAAACUAACAAACAAUCCUUCUGACUCCCUCAGGAGACAAAUUCUAAUAUUUCCAAAAGAAAGUAGUCAACACCGCGGGCUGGCUCCCUGGGAUAUACUGUAAAUAGCCUCCAAAUCAGGAGUAAAGAAUGCAGUUGAGCUGGAAAGAACGAAGACAAGGCCCAGAGAAAUGACCACGUUGGCUUUGUUGUUUUUCUGAAUAUGUGUCCACUUUGGCGCUGCUCAGCCUGAUGUCGGCAGAAUAUAUUUAUCACCUCACAUAGCCAGGCGCUGUCAUGUGCAAUCAGUUGACAUCUGGGGGCUGUUUCAUGUUUCUCUCCUUCAUCUGCCCUCACUCAAGCAUUUGGAGACAUCAGUUACUAAACCAAGCAUGAAGAGAGAAAGCAGUGAUAAUAGGUCAUCUUCUAUAUUGUACCGCACAUAGUAAAACUAUAUUGAAAUAAA